CACGCCUCCUGCUCUCUCUGAACCCCGCCUCCGAAGGGAAGCAACAGGGCAGCAGGGAUGGUUGACGCGUCAAGCGCCAUCUUUCACGUGGGCGGAAGAAGUUGCUGCUUAAUUUUCGUUUCCUCGUGGGACACCGUAGAAAUGUCUUCUGUGCUGCUUUGGAGCUGGAGUUGAGGUCUUGUUGAUUACCUCCCAUUUACCAGGAUUACAGCAAAUUAGAUUUAACUGUGACUGGCAUGCGAACUAUCUGAGGUCGGACAUGGAUGAGGAAUAUUGCUAUAUAAACCACAGCAGGCUAUACACAUUUGCUGUUGAGAUCGACCACCUCAAUGCCUAACGGUGUUACAAACAUGUGGUGGGCCCUCAUGGGAUGGAGGAAAGUGCACUGGAUUUGUAAUGCCACCUCUGUGUAUUAUUCCACAUAAGGUGUAUGUUGCUGACUCAAUGAGUAAAUGAGUACAAGCCAGAGGUGUCCAUCUCCAAAACUCAUGCAGAGUAAGAGGGUAUCUGUGUCCUUUACAUCCAGGAAUUCGAGGAUUCAGGAGCUUGAAAUACCCGGUUGCCUACACUGUCACAAGAGCUGUUCAGCUGUCUGCCUGCUCGUACUGUUGGCCUGUAACUUAUUCUCCACUCAGUGGUCCAAAUGCGAUUUGGGAAAUGAGAGUUUCAGAGUUGGGGGCAGCGUGGCAGAGUUUCCACUGAAGAUGGAUUUUGGAAUUGGCAUCAGGUGAAAAUCCUAUGAAACAAGAGAGGGCCCACCUCUAGGACGUGGGGGAAGAUGAAUGAGCUCAAGUUCCAGAAGACUCCGUGUUGGAAAGAGCUUCCAUAUAUUGAAACCCACCCUGCAUUAAUUCCAGCAAACUUCUUAUUCAGUGCCAUGGAAGGAUCUUGAGACCACUGACGCAGAGGCAAUCGACCCUACAGGUGCUGCUAAGAUGGAAGAGCUCAUAUAAAUCAAGAUGGUGGAGCUGACUGGGUAGUCACUUUGCAUCGCACAUUUGUUCUGGGCAGCAUGAAUUCAUUUCCAGGAGGAUGUUUGAUAUACACUGAGGCUUAAGAAACUCCGGAUGCCACGAACAAGGCCUGGAGUACUGGAACCGUCUUCACCCUGAUCACUGCGUCCCGACCCGCAAUGUAUUCGUGGGCAGAGGGGUAUACUCAACACAUUCACAUCUCCGUUCGCGGAUCAUCUAUUUUAGUCAUGGCUGGCAUUAUAUCAUCAACCCACCUGCUUCUAGAAGAGAGAAAAAAAAUCAGAAUCACUCGACCGGCAGAGUGCUGUCAGCUUGUGAUUAUGUGAAUGAAAGCCUCAAGACAUAUUACAUGUUGCCGAAGGGCUUCUGAGCACAGUCCCUGAAGUUAAAUCAAAUGUCUUGACCCAGAGAUGAAGAGAGAACCUAGAAGGAUCCUGAGCUGCUUAACAUCACGUGAUGCCUGGAUCCCCUGGUUUGUGUUGGCGUCUGAGAAGAACUCUCUUUUAUCCACAGAGCUUUUGCACAUCUGAAUUCUUGAUCUUCGCUACAAGGUACAACUAGGGGCAUACAACCUUCCGGAGAAACCGAGGGCUUUGUUACAGUAAACUGGUCCAGUGUGAUAUCACAAGUAUAAAAAAUAUUCCAUUCUGUAUCAAAACUAGGCACAUGCCUUUAUUUGUAGUAACAGAAGUUAACAGAGUUGAGCAGUUUUGCCUUGGGCCCUAUUUCUUGGCAUCCUACAUCAGACAAACGCAUCAUCCCGCAUCUCUCCGCCCAUAACUCCAGGGAUCUAGUCUCAGGGUCAUCGCUGUGGAAAGAAAGGUGAAAUCACACUUGGAUCUAUCGUGGAUGGAAAUGGAAACUUUGAAUAUGGAGAGUCAACUUGAAAAGCAUUCAAGGAGGAAAUGAAAAGAGCCAACAUGAAAGCUGGAUUUGGAGAGGAUCCAUGGUGUUUUAUAUUAUGACUAUUUUUUAAACAAAAAUCACAGAUGUAACGAUUAAAUCACUCAGUGUCCCAUGCAGGUAGAGUUAGAAAAAGCUAUGAAACAUGUGCCUCACUUGGCAGUUAAAAAAAGAGAAGAUUGCCUGUCUUUCUGCCGUGAUUUCUCAGUCCUCAAGAUCCACUCAGGCCAAUGUCAGUGAAAUGUGUGACCACAGAGGACCACUACUUUUCUUCCACCAACAGACGAAAGGAGACGUCUCCAUGUGUGGAUCGAUGGAAGAUGUUAUUACGGCUUGUAUCAGCUGGAAAGCCUUGCUUUGUGAUCGGACUGUGAGAUAAGAGCCAUGGGUUCUAAUGUAGCCCUGCCACUAACUGGAGAACUGGCUCACCUCUGCAAUGCCAGAAAAAUCUGGAAGAGUAUUCUACUGUGAUCCUCUGAUAUUCAUGACAACAAUGAAAUGAAAUAUUUCCUGGUUAUAAUACGUGAAAAACUUCUGUUAUCACAUAUUAAAGGACAAAGGCUUACAAAGGAAGAAAAAAACAAAACUAAAGCCAACUCUUUCUCAGAUUUAAGAAACCAAACCCUUACUACACAUGAGAACUGAUGAAAACCAGUGUUGUUUUAUGUCCAUAAGAAUGUGGCUCCUCAAAGGAGAAAUCCCAUUUCAGGUUGGCAGUCGUCAUCACUCACUAAUUAAGGAUGCUGGGUUCCAGUUCCAUCCUGUGUUGCCAUAAGAAAGCGACAGAGCUUGGCAUGCAUCCUGCCUAUUUCCACCGUCAGCUGUUUGGAGUGCUUCAGCUUCUGCACUGGGGGGCGAGAAGUUUGUCUUGAUACUGAAAGGCAAAGGUGCGAAGGAGGAUUCCUGUGUAGUCAGAAGGAGCAAAAUAAUAAGUAGUCAUGAAGCCAGUUGAAAGAACGGGAAGAGAAAGGCCUGACUCCAGCUCUAAAUUCCUCAAACCUGCAGGAUGCCAAGUGCCUUAUUAUGCCAUCACUCACUCAUUUCCCUGGAACUGGACGAGCAAGAAAGUUUUAUUAAUAAUCCAUUUUGCAGGUUAAAUCUGAGGCCCUCCAAGGGAACAGCCUUUCCAGAAAGACCUCGCAGGGCACAGCCAUUAGAGGCACACUGUUCCGGAUGCUGGCCAUCCGGUGUUGCACGUUAUUUUGUUUGCUUCUAAGUUCAAGAGACAGAAUGUAUUGCCAUUGCCUUUAAAGAAAAUAUCUUCAGUGUUUUGACCACCAUUGACAAGAUGGUUAGCAUGCCUUUAGCCAUCUUUAUGAAACAACAGAUGUUGCCUUGGCAUUUUUCCAGCCCUCCCUGUGUCCUCAAGCCUAAUAUUUGUUUUUCAUUAGUUGGUGUGUUGCUCAUUUCUCAUCCUGUGUGAGGGGGCUGCUUCUUGGCCUUGCCGUGCAGUUGCUUUGCUUUCAGAUAGAAGAGGUUGGCCUACUUGGGCUGAGUGAAGAUAUUCCCUUAGCCCUGGCGCGUGUCCUCUGUGAAGAGGCUUUGGCAGCUGGGGGAGAUAAGAAGGCAAAAGGAGAAGUGUUCCUAAGUGGUGUUUUCUUGAUGAGGACUCCGUGUUCAUGUUUAGCUUCUAAUGUGACAUAAUGAAUUAUGAACUAAAAGUAAUUGGAAGAUUUGUGGCCUCAGUGCAGAAGUUUAAUGUAUGAAAGGAAGCCACAGGUCAAUUAGGCGAGUUGAUCAAUAUUUAUAUCGCUCUUUAAUGAAAGGAAAUAACCCUGAUAGAUUUUCCUUGAAAUUGCUGAUGAGUAUGCAU
This is a long non-coding RNA of Ailuropoda melanoleuca (giant panda), 3690 nucleotides long. RefSeq lists it as uncharacterized. NCBI's taxonomy places the organism in Eukaryota, Metazoa, Chordata, Mammalia, Carnivora, Ursidae. The transcript is spliced from 16 exons. The record is from RefSeq and is a predicted model, not a curated record.